RNAcentral lists this ribosomal RNA (440 nucleotides) under uncultured bacterium. RNAcentral describes it as "partial 16S ribosomal RNA". It matches the Rfam family "Bacterial small subunit ribosomal RNA", at positions 338 to 795 of the family's 1533-position model. The record is from RNAcentral.
CCUACGGGAGGCAGCAGUGGGGAAUAUUGCACAAUGGGGGAAACCCUGAUGCAGCGACGCCGCGUGAGUGAAGAAGUAAUUCGUUAUGUAAAGCUCUAUCAGCAGGGAAGAAAAUGACGGUACCUGAGUAAGAAGCCCCGGCUAACUACGUGCCAGCCGCCGCGGUAAGACGUAGGGGGCAAGCGUUAUCCGGAUUUACUGGGUGUAAAGGGAGCGUAGACGGCAGUGCAAGUCUGGAGUGAAAGGCGGGGGCUCAACCCCCGGACUGCUCUGGAAACUGUACGGCUGGAGUGCAGGAGAGGUAAGUGGAAUUCCUAGUGUAGCGGUGAAAUGCGUAGAUAUUAGGAGGAACACCAGUGGCGAAGGCGGCUUACUGGACUGUAACUGACGUUGAGGCUCGAAAGCGUGGGGAGCAAACAGGAUUAGAUACCCGGGUAGUC